GGAUGAACGCUGGCGGCGUGCCUAAUCCAUGCAAGUCGAGCGAACGGCCGAGAAGCUUGCUUCUCUGAUGUUAGCGGCGGACGGGUGAGUAACACGUGGAUAACCUACCUAUAAGACUGGGAUAACUUCGGGAAACCGUAGCUAAUACCGGAUAAUAUUUUGAACCGCAUGGUUCAAAAGUGAAAGACGGUCUUGCUGUCACUUAUAGAUGGAUCCGCGCUGCAUUAGCUAGUUGGUAAGGUAACGGCUUACCAAGGCAACGAUGCAUAGCCGACCUGAGAGGGUGAUCGGCCACACUGGAACUGAGACACGGUCCAGACUCCUACGGGAGGCAGCAGUAGGGAAUCUUCCGCAAUGGGCGAAAGCCUGACGGAGCAACGCCGCGUGAGUGAUGAAGGUCUUCGGAUCGUAAAACUCUGUUAUUAGGGAAGAACAUAUGUGUAAGUAACUGUGCACAUCUUGACGGUACCGAAGCAGAAAGCCACGGCUAACUACGU
RNAcentral lists this ribosomal RNA (497 nucleotides) under uncultured bacterium. RNAcentral describes it as "partial 16S ribosomal RNA". It matches the Rfam family "Bacterial small subunit ribosomal RNA", at positions 27 to 506 of the family's 1533-position model. The record is from RNAcentral.